Molecule: ribosomal RNA, 301 nt
Filed under: uncultured bacterium
Lineage: Bacteria
Description: partial 16S ribosomal RNA
Rfam family: Bacterial small subunit ribosomal RNA
Source: RNAcentral
CAGCCGCCGCGGUAAUACGGAGGGGGCUAGCGUUGUCCGGAAUUACUGGGCGUAAAGCGCACGUAGGCGGCUUGGUAAGUUAGAGGUGAAAGCCCGGAGCUCAACUCCGGAAUUGCCUUUAAGACUGCCGAGCUAGUAGGUGAGAGAGGUAAGUGGAAUUCCGAGUGUAGAGGUGAAAUUCGUAGAUAUUCGGAAGAACACCAGUGGCGAAGGCGGCUUACUGGCUCAUUCUAGACGCUGAGGUGCGAAAGCGUGGGGAGCAAACAGGAUUAGAUACCCGGGUAGUCCCUGUCUCUUAUAC